AUUCUUACCUGACAGGAGAGAUACCAUGAUCACGAAGGUGGUUUUUCCAGUACAAGGCUGAUCCAUUGCACUCCAGAUGUGCUGAUCCCUGAAAUUUCCUCAAAUUCUGGAAAUUCAACUGCAUAAUUUGUGGUAGUUAGGGACUGUGUUCGUGCUCUCCCCGG
Molecule: small nuclear RNA, 164 nt
Organism: Cavia aperea (Brazilian guinea pig)
Lineage: Eukaryota; Metazoa; Chordata; Mammalia; Rodentia; Caviidae
Gene: U1
Rfam family: U1 spliceosomal RNA
About the family: U1 is a small nuclear RNA (snRNA) component of the spliceosome (involved in pre-mRNA splicing).
Source: Ensembl